RNAcentral lists this transfer RNA (75 nucleotides) under archaeon. RNAcentral describes it as "tRNA-Met". It matches the Rfam family "tRNA". Rfam says of the family: Transfer RNA (tRNA) molecules are approximately 80 nucleotides in length. Their secondary structure includes four short double-helical elements and three loops (D, anti-codon, and T loops). Further hydrogen bonds mediate the characteristic L-shaped molecular structure. tRNAs have two regions of fundamental functional importance: the anti-codon, which is responsible for specific mRNA codon recognition, and the 3' end, to which the tRNAs corresponding amino acid is attached (by aminoacyl-tRNA synthetases). tRNAs cope with the degeneracy of the genetic code in two manners: having more than one tRNA (with a specific anti-codon) for a particular amino acid; and 'wobble' base-pairing, i.e. permitting non-standard base-pairing at the 3rd anti-codon position. RNAcentral also lists the same sequence under 3 other names. The record is from RNAcentral.
GGGCUUGUAACUCAGCCUGGUUAGAGUGGCCGGCUCAUAACCGGUUCGUCCGGAGUUCAAAUCUCCGCAGGCCCA